Deltaproteobacteria bacterium is the source of this 75-nucleotide non-coding RNA. The record is from Rfam. Lineage: Bacteria; Pseudomonadati; Myxococcota; Myxococcia.
GGGUCAGUAGCUCCAACUGGAUAGAGCACCGGACUCCAAAUCCGGUGGUUGCAGGUUCGAAUCCUGCCUGACCCG